RNAcentral lists this long non-coding RNA (6952 nucleotides) under Sus scrofa (pig). RNAcentral's name for it is "lncRNA (ENSSSCG00040011300.1)". Lineage: Eukaryota; Metazoa; Chordata; Mammalia; Artiodactyla; Suidae. The record is from RNAcentral.
GGCUAGGGGUCUAACCGGAGCUGUAGACACCAGCCUACACCAGAGCCACAGCAUUGCGGGAUCCGAGCCAUGUCUGCAACCUACACCACAGCUCACGGCAACGCUGGAUCCUUAACCCACUGAGCAAGGCCAGGGAUCAAACCCGCAACCUCAUGGUUCCUAGUCGGAUUCAUUAACCACUGUGCCAUGAUGGGAACUCCCCAAUCUACAUACUUUUGCUCUGAAUUACCUUCACCAUUUCUAGGUGAUGUAAAUCAGCUGCUUCAUGAUUUCAUAGCUUUGUUGUAGCAUCUGAGUUUAUUCUAUCUCUACGUCACGUCACCAUUAUGUGUCCAGCUUCGAAGACACGGUUUCUGGCUCUAGCCUGUGUGGGAUGGUUUCCCUUUAGGUUAUCCUCAGCAUUAUUAUUCCGUAUUAUAAAUCUUGAGGAAGCUACUUGAAAUUAUUUUAAAGAUUAUGCAUAACCAUGUAAUAGUACUAGUGAUGCUACCAUGAUAUGGAUAAAACUGAUGAUGGUACCAGCUCUCUAAACAAAGUGCCAAGCAUGUGCUAAGAGCUAUAUACACAUUACCUCACUGAAUCCUCCCAGUAAUGCUAUAAGGAAGGUAUUAUCAUCAUAUUCGUUUCACAAAUAGGGAAAUUCAGGGUGAGAGGGGUAAGUACCUUACACAAGAUAAGUGAGCUAGUAGGAGGCAGAAUCUAAACUUGAACUCUGGUCUGCCUAAUGCUUCUAAAAUGCCUAUGCUUAACCACCUUGCUCUACUGCAGUGGUUCUCAAAGUGUGGUCUCUGGACCAGCAGCUUCAGCAGCACCUGAAAACUUGUUGAAAGUACAAAAUUUAAGGAGUUCCCAUUGUGGCUCAGCGGUAAGAAACCCGACUAGUACCCAUGAGAGUUCGGAUUUGAUCCCUGGCCUCGCUCAAUGGUUUAAGGAUCGGGCAUUACAGUGAGCUGUGGUGUAGGUAGCAGACAUGGCUCAGAUCUGGCAUUUCUGUGGCUGUGGUGUAGGCCGGCAGUGGCAGCUCCAACUGGACCCCUAGCCUGGGAACUUUCAUGUGCUGCAGCUGCAGCCCUAAAAAAAGAAAAAAAAAAAAAAUACAAAGUCUCACAUCUACUGAAUCAGAAACUGUGGGGGUGAGCCCAAUCUGUGUUUUAACAAACCAUCCAGGUAAUUCUGCGGCUCACUCAACUUUGAGAACCACUGCUCUACUGCCCUGAAAAUUUGCCUAAAAGGCCGCAUUCUUCUUAUCAAACCUUAUUUUUUGUAUCUGAAUUUGAAAGUGUGUGGUAGUUCCUUGAUCUGUCUUCCAGGGAGGAAAGAGAAAUCUCAGAUAUGGAAAAGUCAGGUUUCUUGUCCCUUCCCUGAAGGAGGAAGGGUGAUUCCUUGUCAUUCUCAGUGAGGGGAUAAGAGAGUUGCUGCUUUAAAAUAUAAAUCAGAAGAAAACACGAAGGAAAGAAAAACCGCUUUUUGCAGCAUAACUAAGCUGUUGUGGUUAGACAUAAUGACUGAAUAGUCCAAGAAGAUCCUGAAAUUCCCUUAGAGCUUUUAUAUACGAAUAAUACUAUGUCUACUUAAUCAAAAUAGUUUUUUAAAAAUCCUCCCUACAUGCAUACUUAAAAAAAGAACAUAAACCCCUUAGCCUUAUGAAUAAAUACAUCAAUGGAAAGACUGUUUCCUAGGUAGCAGAAUCAAUGGCAGUUAUCAUCAGCUUUCUUUGGUUUAAAAAUAAAAAUCCUUUUAGCUUUGCAGCUCACGCUGCCUAGAAUGUGACCUUGGUCUUUUCAAGCUUAUCUUUAGUCCAGAGCACUGUGCACCUCUGCAAAUCAGCCUCUAAUCUCUUUAAUACCUUCCUGCACGUGCAAUUUUAAAGCUAGGCCAGCGGCAUACGAACCAUCCUUUACUCCAAGGUCUCUGGAGAUACUUGUGGCCAAUCACUUACAAGGGCUUUCAUAAGGCCACAGGGGUAAAUAAGAGCGACAUGUAAGUCCUAUGUAAAACAGGAUGACUUCUCCACAGGUGCAGGUUUACCUGAGAAAGGUAAUGAGUGGCUCUUAAGUUCUACAGAAAUGAAGCAAAACAAGGAUAUGUGUGAACACAGAAGAGCUCACUCACACCACCCAAUACCAAAGGCAAAAUCAGUACAUUCCACCUGACCAAAUAAAAGAGUUCCUGGGCUAGAAUACGUGCUGUACUCUAUUAAUGCAAGAUGGGUCUUGGAUGUCUGGAUCCGCAGCUGAUGUUUUAUUAUAUCCCCUUUGUCUUCCUUCCUUCCGGAAAGAAUGGUAGGGAGGCCGUGAGCUGAUGGAUGACAAUCAGCAUCCAGCCACAUGGACCUCAUUAACCCCUCUUGUCCAAUACAUCAGAGUGAGGCUCAUGGGAACUACCAGUGCUCGGGAAUAUAGGAAAGCAAAGGAUGGGAGAGUCCACCAUGAGUCAUAAUAGGUCUAGGGAUUAGCUACACACUAUCUUUUAUUAGUGAAAGCUUUAUUUGAACAUUGUGUCCCAUAAUUUUAAAGGGAAAACUAGAGAAGAUUCCCUUCAAUCAAGAUAAUAGACCUUGGACAUUACGAUCAUUCAGCACGCAAAAAGAAAAAGAGGCUAAGAUACACGAACUAAAAUUAAGUGCUAUCAAAGAGUCUUUCCUUCCUUUUCUCAUUCAUUUAAUCAAUAUUAAGAGAGCAAAAACAUAUGCUAGAGCAUAUCUAGAAAAUGCCAACCAGUUCUACAUGUCCUCCCCAAUUCCCAAAAAAGCUAAACAUGAGACAGUGGACUCAAAGUAAAAAGCAGACUAUAUUUUGACUGACAUGAGUAAUAAAUACCAGAUGAUUGAAUUACUGGAGCACACUUCCAAAGAAGACUUGGAGUAGGCAAUAGUGGGCAAUGCUAGGUCCUGAGUAGUUUGGUCAAGUAUCCACCAGCCUGAAAGCAGUAAUCAAAACCUCUUGAAAUCUCUUCCAUCUAUGGUUUGUAAUUGCAUUCAUGGUAAGAGGUUGAAUACAAACUGAUGCCAAAUAUGAAAAGGCUAACUGGGAGUUCCCAUUGUGGCUCAGUGGGUUACAAACCUGACUAGCAUUCAUGAGGAUGGGGGUACGGGUUUGACCCCUGGCCUCACUCAGUGGGUUAAGGAUCUGGCUUUGCCGUAAGCUGUGCUGUAGGUCACAGACACAGCUUGGAUCUGGCAUUACUGUAGCUGUGGCUGUAGGCUGGCAGCUGGAGCUCCAAUUGGAUCCUUAGCCUGGGAACCUCCAUAUGUCACAAGUGCAGCCCUAAAAACAAAUAAACAAACAAACAAAAAAGCUAACCAAUGUAAAGAGGCUAAAAUUCCAUUUAAUACCAGUGAUACAGUCAGUUGUAAAAGUGAAAAUGAACAUCUUGUUGCCACAUACACUGUACUGAUAUUGUGUAUAUAUUAACUCAUUCAAUUUCACUCAGAGUCUUAUGAAACUCAGUCACAACUUUUUGAAUGUAACCGAUCACACCCAAAUAUCGUUGGUUUAAUUCUAAGUUUUCAUCCAGAUGUUCGAUACCGCUUAGUCAAAAUAUAUAUCCAGAACCUUACUAAACAUAAAGUAGUAUUUAAUGAUCAAAGUGUAACUUACCCUUGCCAUAUCCACCAAGAAGUUCUCAAAUAACUUCCAAAUGUGGUUACUUGUGUAGAUUUCCUUCAUUUCCACUUCAGUGUCAACGUAACAGUGAUUGACAAAAUUCACAUAGGCAAUUUUAACCUGUGCAAGUUACAAAUAUAAAAGAAAGUGAGUUUUACUUUAUUCUGCAUUUUCUAUUAUGAACGGUUAAAGAAACUUGUAUUAUUUCCUUAUAGUAAUUUAUAGCACAUUUUGUGUCUAUCCAGAGAGCAUUCCUAUCUCCUUUCUUUUGCUAAAACACUCCACCCCCGGACCCAGGAUAAACCCAUGACCUCAUAUCCCAUUCCCCCCGGGGGCCCAGUGAUGGGUAGGAGAAUGUGAACUUCAUGUAAACUAAGCUGAACAUACUUCAGACACUAGGAGUCAAAAGUGCUCCCUUUCCUGUGUCCCCUCUUUCCCUUCCCUCCUCUCCUCCUCAUAUCCCCUCCUCCUCUCCUCUUCUCUGUCUCUGUCAUUCAUUCAUUCAUUCACUCAUAUUUUCUCCCACUCUCUCUCUCUUUCUCAUUGUCAAAAUGGAACAAAGUAAACCUGAACUCCAAGCAGCCAUCUUCUCCAGGUGUGUGGAGGAAAAUUAUGCUCAGGUGAAGAGCAUGAGGGAAAAACACAAAGUACAGGGGAACAAGAGAUAAGAAGGAACUCUGACGUUGUUUGAACCUCUUAUUCCAUCUGAAUAACUACCCUUCAAUUUCCCCAAUAAAGGAGCCAGUAAAAUCCCCCCCCCUUUUUUUUGUCUUUUUAGGGCCGUACUUGUGGCAUAUGGAGGAGGGGAAUAUACAAGGUUAGAGUGGUGUGGUCAGAGAGAACGGAUUAGUCAGAAUCAGGACCCCCAGUAAUGACAGAACCCACAGAUUUAAUCUAUGCUUCCUUUCUUUGCCAUCUUAUUUCAAACCAAUCAAGGCAAGAAGUAGCCCUGGUUUGGGGUGCCAAUAAUGCCACAAAAUUUCAUAAAAAUAUACUUUCAAGUCCAUCACUAUGUAGGACUAUGUGGACGUAGGGAAGUGAAUCCAAGCUGACACCUUUUUAAGGUACUGUGAUUUAAAAUGUUGGGAUUUAUAUCCCAUUAACUGUAGCACACAUUUAUGAACUGUGCAACAACAUACCACAACAGUAGAAAAGAAAGAAAUUACUGCAGUGAACAUUCCUGGAAGCCUCAUUAAUGCUGCUGGCACACAGCCAGUUUCUAAUGAGUUUUUUUUUCCCUAUCACCAUGCUAAACUAGGAGAGAGGGUAAGCGAUGACGUGUGAAUAAAGCAAAACGCGUGUCUAUGUUUCCAAGAAUGCAUCUACUCUGUAAAGUAAAAGUAAACCUAGAAAAUCUAAGAGGGAUCCUGCAGCACCAUCCUAGCCUCUGCUAUUGAUGACUGUGAAUUAUUUACAACGCACCUGUUUUAUGCUCAAGAACAUACUAGAGGUUACAAGUACAUUUUUCAGUUUGGUCACAAUGCCAUGCCUAGAAAUUCCUAUAGUAACUUCUAGUAAAUGAACAGAGGCUAUACUUGAAAUAGGUUUAUCAUCUUUCAUAGUUCCUUGUGGAACAAACAAGGAAACUUCUUAUGCUCUUUUCAAUGUUUCUAAUUAUAGAACUAAGUACAAUCCCUCAGCUCAAGAGAUCAUCUCAUUAUAAAUAAUAGUAGGAGGACUUCUGGCACUUAUUAAAAAUUCAUAACAAUUCUGUUCCUGCUGAGCUUUUACUAGGCUUACCUCGGGGAUGCAGUCGUCAUGGGUCACUACCCUCACGAUGUCAUCCAGGGGCAGAAGGGAAUUGCACUUGAUUUCGGUGUAGACAUUUUUGCCUUCUGUGCACGCUGCCAGCAACUCCACAAGGGUGAUGUGGUAGGCUAAGGCACCACCCUCAUCUCCUCGGUCUCUCUCUGAACACAUCAUAUGGAGCAGGAUGGGAAAUGAUGCUCUAUCAUUGUAAAAUAUCAGCACAUCUUCACCUCCAUUUAUCAACUGAAAUGAUAACAAGAGAGUCUCCAUAGCAGUCCAAAUAUUCUCCUUAAUAGUUCUUGCCAAGGCUUGGUCUUUCUAGAAACACAUGCAGCUCUUUGUAAAAACAUAGAUAACACUACAAAAGCAGAACUACACCCAGGUGGGAGGGUAAAAAGUUUCUAGUCGUGUGUCAAGCGAUUAGUUGUGAAUGCGAUCAACACCAGUGGGGGAGAUUUGGGAGAGAUGGAUGGGGAGCAAGAAUAAAUGACACAGAUGACAGUAAACUGUUCAGUGAGUUACCCACUGACAUGAAACCUGCAAAAUACUCCAAUAAAGUUACUUCCUUCUACUUUAAAUGGAAAAUCCCAUUACCAAAGCAUGAGAGAUCUUAAAAGUCUAAUUUUACUAAAGAAUAAAAAUAUCUUCACCCCCUUCAAUAAUGACAGGAUAAGUAAGCAAGUAUAUUGAACCAAAUGCAGCACCAUAAGAAUUUGGAGAUCCAGGUGUCAUGGAUAUUGGUAGGGAAUGGAGGUAAAAGCAGAGACAGGAGAAAUAAAGAGGAAAAGACAACUCUAAAAAAAGAGAGAGAGACAAAGAACUAAGUAAAUAGGGGCUUUUAGGGCAUACAUUUUCCUUCCUGUUUUGUUUACGUAACUUGAGUGGAAUUCCAGCAGGUGGUAAUUUUAUCGCUCCAUCUCAGUAAUGGCUUAUUAUCUACUUUUCCUUUGCAAACUGUAUUUUCAUUUUAUUAAGGAAUUAUUUCCAUGACUGUCACGAACCCCAGGCUGAGGUAACAGGGAUGAGUUCUGGAAGCCACUACACCCUAGUCUGAACUUUGUGGGUUACAACCACUGUCCUCUCUACCUCAACUGAGGACCCAGACUCAUGACGUCUCAAUCCCUGCCCUCUCAUUCCUGGAAGAUGCCAAGGCCAACCAUGUAAGAGGCUUUUUCAGGCGAGAAGACAGCUUUUGCCUUCCCAAAAGACAAACCCUCUACUUCGCUCUAUGAGGCAGAUAGCAAUCCCACACCACAGACAGGUGGGGGCCUGCGCAGGCCUCAAUUCUCACUGUCAAUUACAGCACCAAUCUUCGUACGCCAAUGCGAAAUAUUUUAGUUACACAGUUUACGUCAUUUUUUUCUCUAUUUCAUUUGAAUUGGUAACAUAUUUGAGUUGACAAGGCAGUUAACUGGCUUACACUGAAAGUCUUGUUGAAAGAGAACAUAUAUGGGUGAAAAAUAUGUCUUAUAUCUUAACAAAAUAUCAUAAGUGCUUCUUUACAAUAGAAACACUUUACCUAAUAAAUGUCAUACUCUUAACUAUUUGCUGCUUUUCCAUUUUCAUUCUUUCCUUGAUAAUUUUCCAAAAUCAAAUUA